AUUGGAUUCACGCCGGAAACUCACCGGGAGGNACGGAGGNNUGGANAGCCAGGCUGAAGACCUUGCCCGAUUCUCCGAGAGGUGGUGCAUGGCCGUCGUCAGUUCGURCCGURAGGCGUUCUGUUAAGUCAGAUAACGAACGAGACCCUCRYCUUCARUCGCUAUUUSSUGGGCGACCRCSAGAGCACACUGGGGGGAUCUGCUGCCGCUAAGGCAGAGGAAGGAGAGGUCUACGGUAGGUCCGUAUGCCCCGAAUCUCCCGGGCAACACGCGCGCUACAAAGGUUGGGACAAUGGGAUCCGACCCCGAGAGGGGGAGGCAAUCCUGAAACCCUAUCUUANUCUGGAUCGAGGGYUGUAACUCGCCCUCGUGAAWAUGGAUUCCSUAGUAAUCGCGGGUCAWCAUCCCGCGGUGAAUGUGCCCCUGCUCU
This 430-nucleotide ribosomal RNA is filed under the name uncultured archaeon. Its description in RNAcentral is "partial 16S ribosomal RNA". It matches the Rfam family "Archaeal small subunit ribosomal RNA", at positions 905 to 1334 of the family's 1478-position model. The record is from RNAcentral.